AUGCCGGAGGAGAGGGGGGGUGGAGUGGUGAGUGCCCGCGGAAGGGAGCGUGGGCGGCGCGGGGCACCGGGGGGCGCGGAGCCUCCGCCCCACCACAGGAGGCGGACAGGGAGGGAAGAAGGGUGCCCGGAGCGGAGCAGAGCGGUUUCUUCUGAAUUCACUGUACAGAGGUUGCCCAUCCAAAAUCUGUGGAAUCAUGUCACUUGUACAUUCCAGUGGAGAAUGAAUGUUUUCUGGGCAGAAAGUUGGUGUCUCAGAGUGAAGAGAACCCAGUGAGAGGGGACUGGUAGGCACCUGAGCACGCUAUGUCUUACACCACCUCCAGACUGAUCGAGAUUUACCCCUGGAAGGAUGAAAUGGUGUUCAGUGAAGGUGACUUUGUUUUGGUAAAAGAAAUUACACGUGCUUUACAGUGAUUGGAGCACGUGCAGAUUUCCAGUUUUAUGGAAGAAUUCAUUUUUUUUCCAUUGUGCUACAUAGAACAGAGCCUUGAACACAGUACCACAGCUGUGAAACUGUUUGAACAUAGUUAUAUUAAAUAUUUGGGUUCUGACACUGACUUUUUGUUUAUAUCCUCUGAGUGGUUAGUGGUGUGUAAAUAAAAAUAAUAUAUAUAUAUAUAUUUAAGACUAC
This 633-nucleotide long non-coding RNA is filed under the name Coturnix japonica (Japanese quail). Its description in RNAcentral is "lncRNA (ENSCJPG00005011765.1)". Lineage: Eukaryota; Metazoa; Chordata; Aves; Galliformes; Phasianidae. The record is from RNAcentral.